This 1696-nucleotide ribosomal RNA is filed under the name Staphylococcus aureus. RNAcentral describes it as "partial 23S ribosomal RNA". It matches the Rfam family "Bacterial large subunit ribosomal RNA", at positions 193 to 1889 of the family's 2925-position model. Lineage: Bacteria; Bacillati; Bacillota; Bacilli; Caryophanales; Staphylococcaceae. The record is from RNAcentral.
CUGAAACAUCUUAGUACCCGGAGGAAGAGAAAGAAAAUUCGAUUCCCUUAGUAGCGGCGAGCGAAACGGGAAGAGCCCAAACCAACAAGCUUGCUUGUUGGGGUUGUAGGACACUCUAUACGGAGUUACAAAGGACGACAUUAGACGAAUCAUCUGGAAAGAUGAAUCAAAGAAGGUAAUAAUCCUGUAGUCGAAAAUGUUGUCUCUCUUGAGUGGAUCCUGAGUACGACGGAGCACGUGAAAUUCCGUCGGAAUCUGGGAGGACCAUCUCCUAAGGCUAAAUACUCUCUAGUGACCGAUAGUGAACCAGUACCGUGAGGGAAAGGUGAAAAGCACCCCGGAAGGGGAGUGAAAUAGAACCUGAAACCGUGUGCUUACAAGUAGUCAGAGCCCGUUAAUGGGUGAUGGCGUGCCUUUUGUAGAAUGAACCGGCGAGUUACGAUUUGAUGCAAGGUUAAGCAGUAAAUGUGGAGCCGUAGCGAAAGCGAGUCUGAAUAGGGCGUUUAGUAUUUGGUCGUAGACCCGAAACCAGGUGAUCUACCCUUGGUCAGGUUGAAGUUCAGGUAACACUGAAUGGAGGACCGAACCGACUUACGUUGAAAAGUGAGCGGAUGAACUGAGGGUAGCGGAGAAAUUCCAAUCGAACCUGGAGAUAGCUGGUUCUCUCCGAAAUAGCUUUAGGGCUAGCCUCAAGUGAUGAUUAUUGGAGGUAGAGCACUGUUUGGACGAGGGGCCCCUCUCGGGUUACCGAAUUCAGACAAACUCCGAAUGCCAAUUAAUUUAACUUGGGAGUCAGAACAUGGGUGAUAAGGUCCGUGUUCGAAAGGGAAACAGCCCAGACCACCAGCUAAGGUCCCAAAAUAUAUGUUAAGUGGAAAAGGAUGUGGCGUUGCCCAGACAACUAGGAUGUUGGCUUAGAAGCAGCCAUCAUUUAAAGAGUGCGUAAUAGCUCACUAGUCGAGUGACACUGCGCCGAAAAUGUACCGGGGCUAAACAUAUUACCGAAGCUGUGGAUUGUCCUUUGGACAAUGGUAGGAGAGCGUUCUAAGGGCGUUGAAGCAUGAUCGUAAGGACAUGUGGAGCGCUUAGAAGUGAGAAUGCCGGUGUGAGUAGCGAAAGACGGGUGAGAAUCCCGUCCACCGAUUGACUAAGGUUUCCAGAGGAAGGCUCGUCCGCUCUGGGUUAGUCGGGUCCUAAGCUGAGGCCGACAGGCGUAGGCGAUGGAUAACAGGUUGAUAUUCCUGUACCACCUAUAAUCGUUUUAAUCGAUGGGGGGACGCAGUAGGAUAGGCGAAGCGUGCGAUUGGAUUGCACGUCUAAGCAGUAAGGCUGAGUAUUAGGCAAAUCCGGUACUCGUUAAGGCUGAGCUGUGAUGGGGAGAAGACAUUGUGUCUUCGAGUCGUUGAUUUCACACUGCCGAGAAAAGCCUCUAGAUAGAAAAUAGGUGCCCGUACCGCAAACCGACACAGGUAGUCAAGAUGAGAAUUCUAAGGUGAGCGAGCGAACUCUCGUUAAGGAACUCGGCAAAAUGACCCCGUAACUUCGGGAGAAGGGGUGCUCUUUAGGGUUAACGCCCAGAAGAGCCGCAGUGAAUAGGCCCAAGCGACUGUUUAUCAAAAACACAGGUCUCUGCUAAACCGUAAGGUGAUGUAUAGGGGCUGACGCCUGCCCGGUGCUGGAAGGUUAAGAGGAGUGG